GUGAGGAAUUUUCCGCAAUGGGCGAAACCCUGAUCUAGCCAUGCCGCGUGAGCGAUGAAGGCCUUAGGGUUGUAAAGCUCUUUCAGCUGGGAAGAUAAUGACUGUACCAGCAGAAGAAGCCCCGGCUAACUCCGUGCCAGCAGCCGCGGUAAUACGGAGGGGGCUAGCGUUGUUCGGAAUUACUGGGCGUAAAGCGCACGUAGGCGGACCGGAAAGUCAGAGGUGAAAUCCCAGGGCUCAACCUUGGAACUGCCUUUGAAACUCCUGGUCUUGAGGUCGAGAGAGGUGAGUGGAAUUCCGAGUGUAGAGGUGAAAUUCGUAGAUAUUCGGAGGAACACCAGUGGCGAAGGCGGCUCACUGGCUCGAUACUGACGCUGAGGUGCGAAAGCGUGGGGAGCAAACAGGAUUAGAAACCCCGGUAGUCC
RNAcentral lists this ribosomal RNA (425 nucleotides) under uncultured bacterium. RNAcentral describes it as "partial 16S ribosomal RNA". It matches the Rfam family "Bacterial small subunit ribosomal RNA", at positions 354 to 796 of the family's 1533-position model. The record is from RNAcentral.